RNAcentral lists this ribosomal RNA (255 nucleotides) under uncultured bacterium. RNAcentral's name for it is "partial 16S ribosomal RNA". It matches the Rfam family "Bacterial small subunit ribosomal RNA", at positions 526 to 779 of the family's 1533-position model. The record is from RNAcentral.
CGGAGGGGACUAGCGUUGUUCGGAAUUACUGGGCGUAAAAGCGCACGUAGGCGGAUUUGUAAGUCAGGGGUGAAAUCCCGGGGCUCAACCUCGGAACUGCCUUUGAUACUGCAAAUCUCGAGUCCGGAAGAGGUGAGUGGAAUUCCUAGUGUAGAGGUGAAAUUCGUAGAUAUUAGGAAGAACACCAGUGGCGAAGGCGGCUCACUGGUCCGGUACUGACGCUGAGGUGCGAAAGCGUGGGGAGCAAACAGGAUU